Molecule: long non-coding RNA, 5348 nt
Organism: Apis cerana (Asiatic honeybee)
Lineage: Eukaryota; Metazoa; Arthropoda; Insecta; Hymenoptera; Apidae
Source: RefSeq, a predicted model, not a curated record
AUACUCGAGAAAAGUUCGAGAGAAAGAGGCGGAGGCCGUUCGCUGGUUGCUUUGAAAAACGUUGCUGCCUGGUUGAGAUUUCUAAAAUCGUCGUUUCCGUCCAAUUUACCCUUUUUAAUUUACCCCUGAAAAUAGCGUUCUUUGCUUAUUUUGCAUCACUUUGAAGUUUCGAAUUAUCACGUGAAAUUUGCGCGCAAAGAAGGGAAAGUACAGUUCAUUUGGAAAUCAUUUCAGUCCCUCGAUGCUCUUCUCUGCUUUCCCUUCAAAUAUAAUUUUCACUUUUCGUUUUCAGAUCAGAAAUUAGAAUUUUCUAAUUAUAAGUCAUAUCACCGAUAAUUUCCACCAAUUCGUGUAUUAUUUUUAACGAAAGAAAUGUAAACUCUUCUCAUUUUCAUCCAUUUUCAAAAGAUAUAAUAACGAUUCAAAAAGGAAUAACAUCCCAAUCUUUAAAAUUCUAUAUUUAAUGCUCAUACGUGAAAACGUAUACGUUUAAAUUUCUCUGCCAAAUUUUUCUAACCAUUCUUCUUUUUCACUUCUGUUCCAGGUAAGUGGACCGAAGGGGAUAAAGCGAAAGGUCGUUUUAUCGACUUGUUUCACUUGGAACGGUGACAAAAUUUGCAUUUCGGCCGAGAUAGCCGCGAUUAAUUGGGUUAAUAAGGAAACCGGCCAAAAGCUGAUCGAUAUUCACUUUGAACGGGGCGCAUUAUCGGGCCCGAUCUAUCAAUAUUUCAUUUUUGCCGGGGUGAAUUUCGAACUUGUGUCGACGCAGGGAGGAAGAGGGUUGAUUCCACCGAAUAAUUGAACAGGGUAAACCGGAGUCAAAUUUAACGCUUCCGUCCUGCUCGUGAGCCAUGGUUGACGAGUGGAUUACGUACGCCGAGGAAAUUGCUUGUCAAUAUUCCACGGAACGCGUGAAGGGCUCGUGAGAAAUGGUACUUUUCCAAUAUGGUGUAUUGCGGUAAGGCUGGAAAUUCGUGUAUAUAUAUAUAAAAUAUUUAAUACGAUGUCGGAUGUAUCAUCUUAUUUUCUUUUGGCUUCUUUUAUGGAUAUUGUAAUUUUCUGAAAAAUUAAAUUUUUAAUUUUUUCAUCGAGGAUAUACGAUUCUUGGAUGCUUAAACAGCUUGGAUCUUUUUAAAUAUUUUGCUGUCGUUGUUCUCCUUUUUAAUUAACAAUCUCGUUUCAUAUUUGGAGCUCAUUUUAUUUUUUAUUGAUUGAAUUGAAAUACAUAUUAGGUUAGAAAGAAAACAAUAAUAAUUGAAUAAUAUGGAGAAAAAAAGGAUUUCUCAUCAGCAUAAUCGCGAAUGGAAAAAUGGGAGAAGAGGUAAGCAGUUGUUCGAAGUGAUAACAUGGAGCUUCGAGUGCGAAGAUAUUGUUCCUGGACCGUAUAUUUGAGAGAAAAGUGGUGGAAAAUCCAAAUGGUGAUAGAAAACAGAUCGCAAGAAACCGCGAAUAGCUUUCUAAGAAGAACGAAAAGAAUGGGACGAAAAAAAAGAGAGGGAGAAAGAAAGAAAUGAAAAAAGUGGAGAGAGAGAGAGAGAGAGAGAGAGAAAAAAGAAAGGAAUGAGACGGAGUGAACAGAACUCUUAAAAAUCUCAGUCGCUUGAAAAACAGUCUUGGAAGUUGGUACAAGUGAUCUUUUACCGCGGAUGUACAACUGAAGUAACUUUUAAAAAAGUUAUCGAAGCUUUAAGUACAAUCGAGUGCGUGAAAUAUAGGCAGUGGAAGAGGUUGCUGAAAGUUGCGAUAGAAUGCAGGGGAAAAAAAUAAAUAAAUAAAUAAAUUCCAUCUUUCAGUCACAUUCAGAUUUAUUACUUAGAAACACGAGAUGAAAUUGUAUUUUCUUAUUAGAAAUUAAAUUUUAUUUAUCUAUUUAUUUUCAAUCAAUACUUAACGAAUAUUCCUAUUCAAUAAAUAUAUAAUCCAAGGGUAAUUCUACAAAUUGAAUAUUAUAUUAUAUAAUUCUUCGUAAAAAGAGGAAGGAAAAGAAUUCCAAGAAUUAAUUUCCAUCUAAAUUAAAUUUUUCUCUAAAUAAAAAAAAAAAAGAAAGAAAAAAUGUAUCUUCUCGAGAUCUCGAAACAGUUUUUUCCCCUCCCAAAUUGAAUUACACCUUGAUCACGCGUUUAAUCGCGUCAAAAUUUCAUUAAAAGGUGUGUCCAGCGUUCUGAAACGUUAUUAAAGCUCAAACUUGUGAAUCUAUUAACCGGCUCGAUAUAUACACACGUCUGUACGUAUACACAGAUUCCCGAGGGAUAGGUUCGACGGCUCGCUAUUUGACGAUCAGCAGCACGGUGUUAUUAAAGGAGAAAUGAAAGCGUGGCUUGCCCCAAGGCAAUGGAAAGAUUAAUCUUUUUAACAGAUGCGUUGGACACGUGAACCGCACGCCGAAUCGUGGUUUAUCGAUAAUGUACCGAACGUUUUUCCUUUGGCCAAUGAUGCGUUUAUAAAUUUUCUUUUCCUUUUUCCUCUUCUUAAUGUGGAAAAAAAUGUUUCUUCUUAGUUCCUCUCUAGGUGAUUUAGUGUUUUACCAGAUUGAAAAAGAUGAUCGAAGUUUAAACAUUGUCGAGAAUUAGAAAAGGAUUAAAAAAGAAAUUUAUAAUUGAAAUGAUAGAUGCAAGAUGUUCACCCAACAAGAGAAUGUAUAAUAAUUUCAUUCAACUACUUUCGAAUUUUAUUAUUAUACAAUCUGCCCUAUCUCGAAUUUCACGAUUCCAUUAAAAGGGCAACUUCAUCGUACGAUAUUUCUUUUUAUAUCUUUUUAUCGUGAAUAAUUUUACAAACCUCUUUGUUCCGCCGCUACACGGCGCAAACACUAAAUUAUCGAAAACGUUAAUUAUCAUAAUUGCAAAAUUAUUCGAGGCUCUGCCUUUUGAAGAGAGGAGGUGGCAUUUCGCCAACGUUGCAGCUAGUGGCCUAGGUUUAGGCUGACAUUAGCGCGUAGCGCUAACCGCAGAACGUUUGACGAAGACACAGGAAACAUUACGAGUCAAAAUCGAGUUCUGGCAGAGAACGUUUGACAAAGGUGAACGGAGAUCCGUUUCCAGGUCGGAAUCGAGUUAUCGGAGGCGUUCAGCCCAGUUUGCGUCGAAAUCGGGUUGCCAAAGCUACAAUUCCUUUCAUGCGCCAUUUUUUAACCACGCGAUACUUUCGUUCCAUCGUUCGUUGACCCCUUUGAGACCUCGCUCGUCCGUUCAUUUUAUGGAAAAUUAUUUCCCUCCUGUUUUUAUUUUCGAACAGUAAUUCGUAUUCUUCUUUUUUUUUUCAUCGAAAUGUUUUUAAUCUCUUAUUUUAUUUUUUUUUUAUCAAAAAGAUAUCCGAAAAAUGGAAAAUCAAAUAGAGAAAUGUAGUUUUAUAUAUAUAUAAAAGAUAAUUCGCGGGCGGCCAGAAAUUUAAUACGAAUGUCCGAAACAAUCGCGAAACAAAAUAUCCUUUCAACUUUUAAUUUUCUGUCUAAUAGACAAAAUUUUUUAAAUCUUAAUCGAGGAAAUUAUUAAAAGAAAGAAAGAAAUAAAUAUUGUAGUACUCCAUCUGAAUAAUAAUGAAAACUUAAUAACUCGAAGAGUAUCAAAUUAGUUACAAUAAUGGAUAUAAGAAAAAUUGGAAUUCUUUUAUUUUUAAAAGUAGAUUGAUCAUCUGACUCGAUAUUUCUCAUUGAUCAAAACAUCUUGAAGAAAUAUAAAUGUCAGGUGAUCGAUAAAAAGUAAUUAAAAAUUAAAAACAAAUCUAAUAUUACAUCGACGAGGGUGAAAAAAAUAUUUCAAUUCGAAGGAUUCAAGAUCAGUGCAAACGCGAGCCGGGUUAUAAUCACCAGUGAUGGUUAUGGUGGUACAUGAAAAGGGUGGAAAUAAAGUUAGAGAACAGACAUUUAAAUUUCGCAGCUCAACUUUCAUUUACGCGUGAAACUACCCUCCGAUUCGCUUUAUCUUUUUUUUUUUUUAUUUCUUUGUUGAAGGAUUCGCAUUCCUCUUUCACUGUAUUUUUUUUUACUUCUCGCGAAAUUCUUGAUCUUUCUCUUUCUCGCCAAUCUUGAUUAAUUUUUCUUCAAAAAUCUUUAAACGAUUCCUACAAUUUAAAUAUUUUAUGCGAAAUAUUUCCAAAUUGAUAAAUAUGUUUCGCACAAGCGUGUCAGAUCUUAUGACUGGAACUAAAUCGGAAUCUUUUCUUUGUUAUGAUAUAUAUUUUUAUAUAUUUUUGUGCGAAUUACGUAUUGAGAGAAAUUUGUUUUUAAAACUGAUUUUAUAUUUUCACAUGGCGCAUUUUAUCUCAGGGGAAAAGUUGACAAGUCUUCACUGCUCGAAAAAUGAAGUUGAAGAAAUAUUUGUGUCUCAAGUGGACAUCAAAAAAUUGUUUUCUUCCAUUGUCCCUCUUUGAUCAUUUAUUUUCUUUCUUCGAGAAAAUAUUUUCUUAUUUGGAAAAAAAAUUUGUAUAUUUCUUAAAAUUUCUUAUAUUUCUAUAUUCUUUACUAAAUAAAAAAUGAUACAAGGAAUUGGAUAAAUCCUAUGGGAGCAAUCUCUACUCUGCCUCGCAGUUUGCCGCCAUUUUGAUACGAAGAAACACUCGUAACGUGAAAAGAGACAAAACUGAGAUCGUGUAUACGUGUGUACGUGUUUUCUCUUCCAUUUUCCAGCAGACCAUAAUCCAAUAAGAAUAAUAAUCUUGAUUAUUGAACUUUUAUGUUACCAUAUUGAAAUUUUGAAUUUUUCAAUUUUCGAGCUAACCAAAUUCUAGAAUAUUUAAAUCGUCAAUUUUUAAAAUACUCAAAUAACAAUCCAUCCAAAUUCCAAAUCACUGACCCAUCUACUAAUUCUUCAACCAACAACAGACUUCCAAACUUCCCAAACUUGAAACCAUCCAAUCCCUCUCCAAUCUCUUCAAACUCCACAGUAACAAAAUCCCAUUUAACCACUCAAACUGUCAUCCAACGAACGAACUGUUGGAGGAAAUCCAUUCAUUUUCUAUCCAUCCCUCUAUCUCCCGGAACAUCCGCUCUUCGAACCAUUCGAGUAUAUAUAUAUAUAUAUAUACGUAUCAUCCGGUGUUUCUUUUCAAUCUCUCAAUUCUUUUACUUUCCAAGCAACAAGAAUAUUUCUCUUUCGUUUAAUUCGAACGUUUCACAAGCACAAUACCAGCGAUCAAGUUUCAUUUCCCAUCGCGCGGAAAACUCUUCGUCCAACCCUCCACCGAUCGACUUCCUCCUCCACUUCCUUCCCUUCAUUUUCCUUCCAUCAUCUUCCUUUUUCCUUUUCUCCCCUUCCCAUUCUCUUCUUCCUUCCAUUAUACAACUUAUUUCUUACUUAACGAAGCCGAGUCGAUUUUUUUCUUCUUUUUCUUUUUUCUUUUUUUUUUUUUUU